AUAUUUUUUUCAUCAGUUUACACCAGUUCAUCAACAAAAAUAUUACUUGAAGAACGUUUUCAAGAUUUGAGAACUCUCGAAUGAGUGAGAAUACGUGACAAUUCAGAGGUGAAAAUUUCAGUCCAUCAGCGCAAUGUAAAGCAGCUCUUUAUUCUGCAAUCUCACGUUUGUUACCAAAUCGCAAACGUAAAUCCUGAGUUUUUAAUUCAAUAUUUUUUUUUUACUUCCAGAACAGCGAAGAAUACAUGAAGGAAACUAGAAAAAGAGAUUUCACUAAUGCAAUUUCCAGAAAAAAAAUAGAAAUAUCGGCGUUAAUAAAUCGAAGGAAAUAAUGAGAAAUUUGCGUUUAUAACGCCUUGCAUUACGAUAAAUUAUCACAAGAGUAUGUUUCUCACUCCUUUAUAGCAGUAUAAUUGAAACGUGAAGCUGUGCAAGAUUAUCAAUAUAUAACACUCUAGAAUCCAAAUAGCAUUGAAAUGAAUACAUUAAAACCUCUCGUCAAAUAAUUUCAAUCGGAUAUGCACGACUAGUUGCCAGUAUAUUUCCACUAGUGUUUUAUCGAGAAAAAAACUCAACAGCAUUAUCCACAUCGCUGAAGAGCUAUUACUCAUCAUCGAUUCUCGGAUCUUUGAUUUACUUUAUAAUGUGGGAUAUCGUAAUACAAUAAGUUCGAUGCACUGACCUGUCUCAUUAAAUGUGGAAACACAACACAUAAAAUUAAGGACGCAGCGUCACAUGCUAAUUUUCUGAUCUGGUGACAAUAAACCAUUCAAUAGAAUCAUCAUAAAACAGUGGUUUAAACCUAGCAAAACACUGACCGCAAACAAGUGGGAAAUUGCUUCCAUCACAACAUAGUUAAUAUAUUUUUGCUAAUAGACUAACAAUUUGCUUCUGAAUGGAGUUUCUAUAACGAUGUACUUUGAAGUAAAUUCAAUGAUUCCUUCAACAUUACUUGAAGGUUGGCAAUUAACAUUGCCCCAACGUUGAAAUUUUUUACCUUAACCCCCUCUAAAAUUAUCUGCAUGUAUGACCUUGCAAAAGUUGAACUUGAAAAGAUGAUCCGUUCCCCUUCUCCUCGUUAUGCUAAUCCUUGAAGCGUGAACGGAAUCGCGUCAUGUUUAUACGGUUUAAAUAGAUAAUACUAUAGGCCUGGUAUUCAGACAGGGAUUAUUCAAUUAAAUUCAUUCAACACGUGCUACGGCUGAGCGCGUGGGGAUAACACGUACUCAAAGCCAGAAGAUGGAACACAUCAUAGGAAUGUCGGGACAAUUGGACAAAAAAAAAAAAUUUGUCUUUCCACUUUUCUUUUGUCUGUCCUCUCUCUACGUGCUGUUUCAUGCUGAUUGCGCGAAAGCCACUCGCCGGUUCUAGUAGGUU
This is a long non-coding RNA of Diachasma alloeum, 1377 nucleotides long. RefSeq lists it as uncharacterized. The transcript is spliced from 2 exons. The record is from RefSeq and is a predicted model, not a curated record. NCBI's taxonomy places the organism in Eukaryota, Metazoa, Arthropoda, Insecta, Hymenoptera, Braconidae.